RNAcentral lists this ribosomal RNA (1273 nucleotides) under Leptidea amurensis. RNAcentral describes it as "partial 16S ribosomal RNA". The stretch from base 1084 to 1241 matches the Rfam family "Archaeal large subunit ribosomal RNA", at positions 2544 to 2703 of the family's 2987-position model. The record is from RNAcentral. Lineage: Eukaryota; Metazoa; Arthropoda; Insecta; Lepidoptera; Pieridae.
GGGGGAAAAAUUAAUAAAUAUUAGUAUAAAAAAAGAAAUUUUAAAGUAAAAUACUGAAUGGGGGUUUAAGUAUUUUUAUGGAAAAAAUUUUUAAUUUUAUAGAAAAUUAGUAUUGUAAAAGAAUUUUGAAAAAUAAUUAAAAUAAAUUUAAUAGAAAGUAAAUUUAAUUUAUUGUAUCUUGGGUAUCAGAGUUUAUCAAAAAUAAAUUAUAUAAAUAAUAAUCUCGAAUUUAAAAGAGUAAAUUAAUUAUUUAAAUUAGUAUUUUAAAAUUAUUUAAAAUAAUUAAUUGGAAAUGAAAUGUUAAUCGUUUUUAAAUAUAUCUAGUUUUUUUAGAAAAAAAUUUAAUUUUAAAUAUUAUUAAUUUUAAUUUUUAUUAAUAAAAAUUAAAAAAAAAUAAAUAUUUUAUAUUUUAAGGGAUAAGCUUUAAAUUAAAUUUUUAUAAUUAAUUUUAUUUUAAUUAUAAAAUUUUUAAAAUUUACAUUUUUUAUAAAUUAUAAUUUUUUAUAAAUAAUUUUAUUAAAAUUAAAAUUUAAAAUUUAUAUUUAAAUAUUUAUAAAAAAAUGAUUUUUAAUAAAAAUAAAUUAGAUAUAAUGAUAAAAUUAGUACAAAAUUUUAUAAAUGAAAAAAUAAAAAUUUAUAAAAUUUAAAUAAAGGAAUUCGGCAAAAAAAAAAUAUUCACCUGUUUAACAAAAACAUGUCUUUUUGAAAAUAAUUUAAAGUCUAAUCUGCCCACUGAAAUAAAUUUAAAGGGCUGCAGUAUAUUGACUGUACAAAGGUAGCAUAAUCAUUAGUCUUUUAAUUGAAGACUUGUAUAAAUGAUUGGAUGAAAUAUAAUCUGUCUCUAUUUAAAAAAUGAAAUUUAAUUUUUUAGUUAAAAAGCUAAAUUAAAAUUAAAAGACGAGAAGACCCUAUAGAGAUUAAUAUUAAAAAAUUAUUAUUAAAAUAAGGAAAAAUUAACACUAAAAUUUUUUAAAUAUUUUAUUGGGGUGAUGGAAAAAUAAAAUAAACUUUUUUUAAAUAAUAAACAUAAAUAAAUGAAAUUAUGAUCCAUAAUUUAUGAUUAUAAGAAAAAAUUACCUUAGGGAUAACAGCGUAAUUUUUUUCUUAGUUCAAAUAAAAAAAAAAGUUUGCGACCUCGAUGUUGGAUUAAGAUAAAAUUUAAAUGCAAAAGUUUAAAAUUUUGAUCUGUUCGAUCAUUAAAAUCUUACAUGAUCUGAGUUCAAACCGGUGUGAGCCAGGUUGGUUUCUAUCUUUAGUAAAAUAAAAUAUUUUA